Molecule: ribosomal RNA, 482 nt
Filed under: uncultured bacterium
Lineage: Bacteria
Description: partial 16S ribosomal RNA
Rfam family: Bacterial small subunit ribosomal RNA
Source: RNAcentral
GACGAACGCUGGCGGCGUGCUUAACACAUGCAAGUCGAACGGAAAGGCCCAGCUUGCUGGGUACUCGAGUGGCGAACGGGUGAGUAACACGUGGGUGAUCUGCCCUGCACUCUGGGAUAAGCCUGGGAAACUGGGUCUAAUACCGGAUAUGAUCAACUGUCGCAUGGUGGUUGGUGGAAAGCUUUUGCGGUGUGGGAUGGGCCCGCGGCCUAUCAGCUUGUUGGUGGGGUAAUGGCCUACCAAGGCGACGACGGGUAGCCGACCUGAGAGGGGGAUCGGCCACACUGGGACUGAGACACGGCCCAGACUCCUACGGGAGGCAGCAGUGGGGAAUAUUGCACAAUGGGCGCAAGCCUGAUGCAGCGACGCCGCGUGAGGGAUGACGGCCUUCGGGUUGUAAACCUCUUUCAGCACCGACGAAGCGCAAGUGACGGUAGGUGCAGAAGAAGGACCGGCCAACUACGUGCCAGCCGCCGCAGUAA